UUUCUAUUCAUCCCCACCUUCUACAGAUCCCAUCUGCGAACCCACCACACCUUCCACAGAUCUCAGCCCUCUGUCGCUGGCCACGUGAUGAGGAGCUCCACGGUUCUCAUGGCGGCGGCGCUGCUGCUUCUGCUGGUGUCGUUGUUGGCGGCGGCGGAAAGGAGCGAGGAGGAGCCGCAAUUACGGGAAGAAGCAGGACUCUAUCGGCGGGGAGGAGCGCCAUCACGAGACGUUCAAGGACAAGCUGCGAUCCACCCCCGACAGUUUUAUAGGACUGGACUCCUUCCACUAGACGGCGAUGACGACUGGACGAAGAAGAACAAGGGAGCGUGGGUUGCUUACAUGCUGUUUGUAUGUACAGUUUUCACUGUUUUCUUCACAUGUUGUAGAUUGCAUACAUAGUCCUGCCAUUUGGAUCAAGUAUAUUUCUCUUCAGGUAAUCCCCCGAUUCACUUGCAGACUUUUAUUGGUCAACUGCAAUAUCUUCACCAUCCAUAUCGAAAUGAAGCAGAGCAUGUUUAUCUUCUGUAAUAAGGUCAUUUACUCAUUUUCGGUAUAUUCUUCCACUUUCCAGUGCACUGCACAUACACAUAUAUAUACAAAGUACCAUAUGUGUAUGCCAUCAUAUGGGUAUGGUGGCUGUCCGGAAGGGAACAACUGUAGAUUCCGUUUUAUCUAUCUAGAUAAAUAAAGUGUAGAGAGAUUACUGUAUGGGAACCCAGAAGAGUACACAUUCAAUUAAUUCAUGCUUCUGUGAUUGUAGUACAGUACCGCAUGGAAGAGAACGAAAAGAGUUGGUUUUAAGAUUGACGAGUGUUGUACAAAAUUCAUACUUUUCAAGCAGGUUCAUCAAACAUGGACAUUAAGUUUCUCCGCAGCACAACACAAAUAAGCUUAGCUGAAGAUAAAAAGGAAUAAAAUUAUAUAGUGUAUCAUGUUAAUUUAUCAUAAAGAGCUAAAUACACCUAACUGUAUUGUCGCAAAAAAAAAAAUACACCUAACUGUACACUAACUUGCAUCGCGUGAACAAUUUCGUAUAACAACUUGAAAAUUGAGACAAAUGGGUCACUUAACUUGCUUAGCAGGAACAAUUUCAUACAAAUUAAUUGGAAACGGCCGCGUGGGCAGGGGACUGCAUCGCCUCGCCUG
This 1149-nucleotide long non-coding RNA is filed under the name Hordeum vulgare. RNAcentral's name for it is "long non-coding RNA (HVUL_LNC020637)". Lineage: Eukaryota; Viridiplantae; Streptophyta; Magnoliopsida; Poales; Poaceae. The record is from RNAcentral.